This 21-nucleotide non-coding RNA is filed under the name Caenorhabditis elegans. The record is from RNAcentral. Lineage: Eukaryota; Metazoa; Nematoda; Chromadorea; Rhabditida; Rhabditidae.
UACUACUAUAUAAUUACCACA